Molecule: ribosomal RNA, 593 nt
Filed under: Lactobacillus sp.
Lineage: Bacteria; Bacillati; Bacillota; Bacilli; Lactobacillales; Lactobacillaceae
Description: bacterial SSU rRNA
Rfam family: Bacterial small subunit ribosomal RNA
Source: RNAcentral
AGAUUUACUUCGGUAAUGACGUUGGGAAAGCGAGCGGCGGAUGGGUGAGUAACACGUGGGGAACCUGCCCCUAAGUCUGGGAUACCAUUUGGAAACAGGUGCUAAUACCGGAUAAUAAAGCAGAUCGCAUGAUCAGCUUUUGAAAGACGGCGUAAGCUGUCGCUAAGGGAUGGCCCCGCGGUGCAUUAGCUAGUUGGUAAGGUAACGGCUUACCAAGGCAACGAUGCAUAGCCGAGUUGAGAGACUGAUCGGCCACAUUGGGACUGAGACACGGCCCAAACUCCUACGGGAGGCAGCAGUAGGGAAUCUUCCACAAUGGACGCAAGUCUGAUGGAGCAACGCCGCGUGAGUGAAGAAGGUUUUCGGAUCGUAAAGCUCUGUUGUUGGUGAAGAAGGAUAGAGGUAGUAACUGGCCUUUAUUUGACGGUAAUCAACCAGAAAGUCACGGCUAACUACGUGCCAGCAGCCGCGGUAAUACGUAGGUGGCAAGCGUUGUCCGGAUUUAUUGGGCGUAAAGCGAGCGCAGGCGGAAAAAUAAGUCUAAUGUGAAAGCCCUCGGCUUAACCGAGGAACUGCAUCGGAAACUGUUUUUC